UACGAAGGGGGCUAGCGUUGCUCGGAAUCACUGGGCGUAAAGGGUGCGUAGGCGGCUCGGUAAGUCAGGUGUGAAAACUCUAGGCUCAACCUAGAGACGCCACCUGAUACUGCCGUGGCUAGAGUCCGGUAGGGGAGCAUGGAAUUCCUGGUGUAGCGGUGAAAUGCGCAGAUAUCAGGAGGAACACCAGUGGCGAAGGCGGUGCUCUGGGCCGGAACUGACGCUGAGGAGCGAAAGCGUGGGGAGCAAACAGG
RNAcentral lists this ribosomal RNA (254 nucleotides) under uncultured bacterium. RNAcentral's name for it is "partial 16S ribosomal RNA". It matches the Rfam family "Bacterial small subunit ribosomal RNA", at positions 524 to 776 of the family's 1533-position model. The record is from RNAcentral.